CCCUUAGAUGUCCUGGGCCGCACGCGCGCUACACUGAUGCAUUCAACGAGUUUUACCUUGGCCGAGAGGCCUGGGCAAUCUUUUAAACCUGCAUCGUGAUAGGGAUAGAUUAUUGCAAUUAUUAAUCUUGAACGAGGAAUUCCUAGUAAACGCAAAUCAUCAAUUUGCAUUGAUUACGUCCCUGCCCUUUGUACACACCGCCCGUCGCACCUACCGAUUGAAUGGUCCGGUGAAGCCUCGGGAUUGUGGCCAGUUCACUUUAUUGGGAGUUGGCUGUGAGAACUUGUCUAAACCUUAUCAUCUAGAGGAAGGUGAAGUCGUAACA
This 325-nucleotide ribosomal RNA is filed under the name uncultured eukaryote. RNAcentral describes it as "partial 18S ribosomal RNA". It matches the Rfam family "Eukaryotic small subunit ribosomal RNA", at positions 1470 to 1796 of the family's 1831-position model. The record is from RNAcentral.